GAAAAGAACCCCGGGAGGGGAGUGAAAUAGAACCUGAAACCCUGCGCUUACAAGCUGUGGAAGCACUUUAUAUGUGUGACCGCGUACUUUUUGUAGAACGGGCCAACGAGUUACGAUAGUAAGCUAGGUUAAGUACUUAAGGUAUGGAGCCGUAGUGAAAGCGAGUCUUAAAUGGGCGUUAAGUUUGCUGUCGUAGACCCGAAACCGAGCGACCUAUCCAUGAGCAGGAUGAAGCGAAAGUAAAAUUUCGUGGAGGUCCGAACCCACGAGCGUUGAAAAGCUCGGGGAUGACUUGUGGAUAGCGGUGAAAUUCCAAUCGAGCUCGGAGAUAGCUGGUUCUCCCCGAAAUAGCUUUAGGGCUAGCCUCAAGGUUGAGAAAUACGGAGGUAGAGCACUGAAUAUCCUAGGGGGCAUUGCGCUUACCGAAGAUUAUCAAACUCCGAAUGCCGUUAUUUUAUACUUGGGAGUCAGACUGUGGGUAAUAAGAUUCAUAGUCGAGAGGGCAACAGCCCAGAUCGUCAGCUAAGGUCCCUAAAUGUAAGUUAAGUGGUAAAGGAUGUGGGAUUGCAUAGACAACCAGGAUGUUGGCUUAGAAGCAGCCACUCAUUUAAAGAGUGCGUAAUAGCUCACUGGUCGAGUGAUCCUGCGCCGAAGAUUACCGGGGCUAAAACUUACUACCGAAGCUACGAUAUCAUUUAUGAUAGGUAGGGGAGCUUCCUAUGCAGGCUGAAGCAUGACCGUAAGGACGUGUGGACAGUAUAGGAGUGAGAAUGUUGGCAUGAGUAGCGAGACGUGGGUGAGAAUCCCACGGGCCGUAAACCCAAGGUUUCCAGGGGAAGGUUCGUCCGCCCUGGGUUAGUCGGGACCUAAGCCGAGGCCGAAAGGCGUAGGUGAUGGACAACAGGUUGAGAUUCCUGUACCACCGAUAAUCGUUUGAGAGAUGGAAUGACACAGUAGGAUAAGCUAACCACACUGUUGGUUAUGUGUGGCUAAGUACUGAGGCAGUCAAGGCAGGCAAAUCCGCCAUGAUAAUGCUGGGGUACGAUGGGGAGCGAAAUUAAGUAGCGAAGUAGCUGAUUUCACACUGUCGAGAAAAGUUUCUAUCGAGAUUAAAGGUGCCCGUACCGCAAACCGACACAGGUGGGUGAGGAGAGUAUCCUAAGGCCAGCGAGAGAACUGUUGUUAAGGAACUCGGCAAAAUGACCCCGUAACUUAGGGAGAAGGGGUGCCACGUUAGGGUUAACGCCCGAGGUGGCCGCAGAGAAUAGGCCCAAGCGACUGUUUACCAAAAACACAGGUUUCUGCUAAGUCGCAAGACGAUGUAUAGGAGCUGACGCCUGCCCGGUGCUGGAAGGUUAAGGGGAUCUGUUAGGAUUUAUCCGAAGCAGUGAACUUAAGCCCCAGUAAACGGCGGCCGUAACUAUAACGGUCCUAAGGUAGCGAAAUUCCUUGUCGGGUAAGUUCCGACCCGCACGAAAGGCGUAACGAUUUGGGCACUGUCUCAACAACAGACUCGGUGAAAUUGUAAUCCCGGUGAAGAUGCCGGGUACCUGCGACAGGACGGAAAGACCCCAUGGAGCUUUACUGUAGCUUGACAUUGAAUUUUGGUGCUACAUGUACAGGAUAGGUGGGAGGCUAUGAAAUC
RNAcentral lists this ribosomal RNA (1645 nucleotides) under Paraclostridium bifermentans. RNAcentral describes it as "bacterial LSU rRNA". It matches the Rfam family "Bacterial large subunit ribosomal RNA", at positions 516 to 2164 of the family's 2925-position model. Lineage: Bacteria; Bacillati; Bacillota; Clostridia; Peptostreptococcales; Peptostreptococcaceae. The record is from RNAcentral.